GGUGGUAAUGCCGGAUGCUCCGACUCCUCGCAUGGGGUGUCGGGAAAGAUUUCAUCGGUAUGGGAUGGGGUCGCGUCCUAUCAGGUAGUCGGCGGGGUAACGGCCCACCGAGCCUACGACGGGUAGCCGGCCUGAGAGGGCGACCGGCCACAUUGGGACUGAGAUACGGCCCAGACUCCUACGGGAGGCAGCAGUGGGGAAUAUUGCACAAUGGGCGCAAGCCUGAUGCAGCGACGCCGCGUGCGGGAUGACGGCCUUCGGGUUGUAAACCGCUUUUGAUCGGGAGCAAGCCUUCGGGUGAGUGUACCUUUCGAAUAAGCACCGGCUAACUACGUGCCAGCAGCCGCGGUAAUACGUAGGGUGCAAGCGUUAUCCGGAAUUAUUGGGCGUAAAGGGCUCGUAGGCGGUUCGUCGCGUCCGGUGUGAAAGUCCAUCGCUUAACGGUGGAUCUGCGCCGGGUACGGGCGGGCUGGAGUGCGGUAGGGGAGACUGGAAUUCCCGGUGUAACGGUGGAAUGUGUAG
This 522-nucleotide ribosomal RNA is filed under the name Bifidobacterium pseudocatenulatum. Its description in RNAcentral is "bacterial SSU rRNA". It matches the Rfam family "Bacterial small subunit ribosomal RNA", at positions 159 to 693 of the family's 1533-position model. The record is from RNAcentral. Lineage: Bacteria; Bacillati; Actinomycetota; Actinomycetes; Bifidobacteriales; Bifidobacteriaceae.